GUCUACGGCCAUGCUGCCCUGAACAAGCGUGAUCCCAUCUGAUCUUGGAAGCUAAGCAGGUUUGAGCCUGGUUAGUACUUGGAUGGGAGAUCAUCUAAGAAGAACAGGUGCUGUAGGCA
Pteropus alecto (black flying fox) is the source of this 119-nucleotide non-coding RNA. The record is from Rfam. Lineage: Eukaryota; Metazoa; Chordata; Mammalia; Chiroptera; Pteropodidae.